AUUGAACGCUGGCGGCAGGCUUAACACAUGCAAGUCGAGCGAGCGGCGGACGGGUGAGUAAUGUCUGGGAAACUGCCUUAUGGAGGGGGAUAACUACUGGAAACUGUAGCUAAUACCGCAUACCAUCGGAUGUGCCCAGAUGGGAUUAGCUAGUAGGUGGGGUAAUGGCUCACCUAGGCGACGAUCCCUAGCUGGUCUGAGAGGAUGACCAGCCACACUGGAACUGAGACACGGCCCAGACUCCUACGGGAGGCAGCAGUGGGGAAUAUUGCACAAUGGGCGCAAGCCUGAGGCAGCCAUGCCGCGUGUGUGAAGAAGGCCUUCGGGUUGUAAAGUACUUUCAGUGAGGAGGCGUUAAUCGCAGAAGAAGCACCGGCUAACUCCGUGCCAGCAGCCGCGGUAAUAC
RNAcentral lists this ribosomal RNA (406 nucleotides) under uncultured bacterium. Its description in RNAcentral is "partial 16S ribosomal RNA". It matches the Rfam family "Bacterial small subunit ribosomal RNA", at positions 30 to 526 of the family's 1533-position model. The record is from RNAcentral.